This 256-nucleotide ribosomal RNA is filed under the name uncultured bacterium. Its description in RNAcentral is "partial 16S ribosomal RNA". It matches the Rfam family "Bacterial small subunit ribosomal RNA", at positions 524 to 777 of the family's 1533-position model. The record is from RNAcentral.
CACGUAGGGGGCAAGCGUUGUCCGGAUUUAUUGGGCGUAAAGAGCUCGUAGGCGGCUGAGUAAGUCGGAUGUUAAAUCCCCAGGCUCAACCUGGGACACCACCGAUACUGCUCUGGCUAGAGUCCGGUAGGGGAGCGUGGAAUUCCUGGUGUAGCGGUGAAAUGCGCAGAGUAUCGGGAAGGAACACCGGUGGCGAAAGCGGCGCGCUGGACCUCUUCUGACGCUGACGGCGCGAAAGCCAGGGGAGCAAAGCGGG